This 655-nucleotide ribosomal RNA is filed under the name uncultured Thermoproteales archaeon. RNAcentral's name for it is "bacterial SSU rRNA". It matches the Rfam family "Archaeal small subunit ribosomal RNA", at positions 1 to 636 of the family's 1478-position model. Lineage: Archaea; Thermoproteati; Thermoproteota; Thermoprotei; Thermoproteales. The record is from RNAcentral.
UCCGGUUGAUCCUGCCGGACCCGACUGCUAUCAGGGUGGGGCUAACCCAUGGAAGUCUAGGAGCCGGGGCUACGGCCGGCUCCGGCGGACGGCUCAGUAGCACGUGGCUAACCUACCCUCGGGAGGGGGAUAACCCCGGGAAACUGGGGCUAAUCCCCCAUAGGCGCAGACUCCUGGAAUGGGUCCGCGCCGAAAAGGCUGCAACGCCAUGCCCGUUGCAGCCGCCCGAGGAUGGGGCUGCGCCCCAUCAGGUAGUUGGCGGGGUAACGGCCCGCCAAGCCGAUAACGGGUGGGGGCCGUGAGAGCGGGAGCCCCGAGAUGGGCACUGAGACAAGGGCCCAGGCCCUACGGGGCGCACCAGGGGCGAAACUUCCGCAAUGCGGGAAACCGUGACGGAGCCACCCUGAGUGCCACCCGAUGAGGGUGGCUUUUGCCCGGUCUAAAAAGCCGGGCGAAUAAGCGGGGGGCAAGCCUGGUGUCAGCCGCCGCGGUAAUACCAGCCCCGCGAGUGGUCGGGACGAUUAUUGGGCCUAAAGCGUCCGUAGCCGGCCCGGCAAGUCCCCCUUUAAAGCCCACGGCUCAACCGUGGGAGCGGGGGGAUACUGUCGGGCUAGGGGGCGGGAGGGGCCGGGGGUACUCCUGGGGUAGGGGCGAA